Agelaius phoeniceus (red-winged blackbird) is the source of this 1464-nucleotide long non-coding RNA. RefSeq lists it as uncharacterized. The record is from RefSeq and is a predicted model, not a curated record. NCBI's taxonomy places the organism in Eukaryota, Metazoa, Chordata, Aves, Passeriformes, Icteridae.
GGAGCUCAGGCAGGUGAUAUCCUGCAGAAAUUGAAUGUCACAAUCAAAUUCAUACUGGCUUCCAUUCUGAGGUUCAUCAAUCACAAAUCUGGUGGUGAAAUGAUUCAGUGCAUAAAAGUCAGCUGCACCUUUGACAAGCUGCUUUUCCUCACUUGUGAAGGAUGGCAACAAAGUAUAUGAAAGGCCCUUUCUGUUUUUAAAGGUGAUGUAUUCCCUCAUAGUAGCUGGAUAGUCUCCAGUCUUAAAUAUGGGAUUGGCAAACCAGCCUAUUUCAAACUGAAGAAACCUGUUGGCAGCUUUUGAAUGAGAUUCAAAGAAGGGGUUGGCAGGCUCAGCCCAGUCGGAAUGCAGGGACAGGGACACUUUGCCGUACUGAGAGGGCCGGUACCGCUCGUCGUACGUUCUCCAGGCCAUGGCGUGUGCUAGCAACAAAUUGUGUGCUGCCCGAUAGGUGUCAUUGCUGCUCCUCUUGUAGACAUUGCUUAGCUGGUUUGGCUCAUUUAUUGUAAUCCACAGUUUAACCAAAUCACCAAGCUCCCUAAAACACAAAGCUGCGUACUCUUGAAAAGCGUAGGCAGUGGACUGGUUCAACCAUCCUCCUGUCUUCAGCAAAGGACCCGGCAGGCCCAGGUAGGUGUGAGUUGGAUAAUACAAGGUGACCAUGGAUUGAAUGUUCAGUUUCAGGGCUUCACUAAUCACACAUCUGUAAUACCUAAGAACUUGCCUGUUGACCACUGACAAAUCUCCGUUGGGUAAAAUUAGUGACCAGUCAAGUGCAAAUCUGUAAUGGGUGAUUUUCAUUUUUUCCAGGAGAUCCAGUUGCUUUUUAAUACUGACAAAAUCUGUGCACUGUGCUGGUCGGGUUUUUAGCUUUACCCCUUCAACUUUGUGCAGAAGCCCAUCUCCUGUGACAUUCCAGAGGUACAAGCUGGAAUCACAGAACUGUGGCUUCACAAGCAUCCCUAUGGCCACACUGCAAACUGGAUUUGGAAACCCCUGGUUGAAAAAUAACCCAGUAACAAUUGGUGGGAUCAACUUCUUGGUUUGAAAUUUCCUCAUCUGAUGUGCCACAUGGAGACACAAGCAGAGGGAGGGCCACGCUUGGAAGGGCACCUGCAGCAGGGUCUGCUGCCACAGCAGUAGCCAGCACUCUGUGCCCAGCUCACCUGAAAACUGGAAACACAGGAAAUUGGACCAAUGCAAUUAUGGCUUAACUUCUGUUGGCAGUGUGCAUUGGAAUUCUGGAAUGCAAGGUGCUGUGUAUGGUCAUUUGUUCAGGGAGCUGCUGAUCACUCUGUUGCCAGUGAUCCACUUAAUAUUUUAUGCUUACCUUGAGAACAGACUCGGUGAUACCCCAGGAGAAGUCACAGGAGAACUGAGCUUGCAAGUUCGGGGUGGAAUCCUUUGGGAAGAAGCCAUUUUCUUGUAUGAUUUGUUUAUAAUAAAGUGCAGAUGACUUGGGAA